Molecule: long non-coding RNA, 324 nt
Filed under: Hordeum vulgare
Lineage: Eukaryota; Viridiplantae; Streptophyta; Magnoliopsida; Poales; Poaceae
Description: long non-coding RNA (HVUL_LNC019220)
Source: RNAcentral
UUCCUCUGGAGGGCAGAUCUGGAGUCCGUUUUGGGCUCCGGAGAGGGGAGAUCGUCACCGUCGUCAUCACUAACCUUCCUUCAUCGCUAAUUCCAUGAUGCUCUUCAUCGUUCGUGAGUAAUCUCAUCGUAGGCUUGCUGGACGGUGAUGGGUUGUAUGAUAUCUAUCAUGUAAUCAAGUUAGUUUUGAUGGGAAUUGAUCCCUAGUAUCCACUAUGUUCUGAGAUUGAUGUUGCUACUACUUUGCCAUGCUUAAUGCUUGUCACUAGGGCCCGAGUGCCAUGAUUUGUGAUCUGAACCUAUUAUGUUCUCGUCAAUAUAUGUG